UGGGGAAUUUUGGACAAUGGGGGCAACCCUGAUCCAGCCAUGCCGCGUGAGUGAAGAAGGCCUUCGGGUUGUAAAGCUCUUUCGGCCGGAACGAAACGGUCACGGCUAAUACCCGUGACUAAUGACGGUACCGGAAGAAGAAGCACCGGCCAACUACGUGCCAGCAGCCGCGGUAAUACGUAGGGUGCAAGCGUUAAUCGGAAUUACUGGGCGUAAAGCGUGCGCAGGCGGCGACCUGUGUCAGGUGUGAAAUCCCCGGGCUUAACCUGGGAAUUGCGCUUGAAACUAGGUUGCUCGAGUUCAGUAGAGGGGGGUGGAAUUCCACGUGUAGCAGUGAAAUGCGUAGAGAUGUGGAGGAACACCAAUGGCGAAGGCAGCCCCCUGGGCUGAAACUGACGCUCAUGCACGAAAGCGUGGGGAGCAAACAGG
This 429-nucleotide ribosomal RNA is filed under the name uncultured bacterium. RNAcentral's name for it is "bacterial SSU rRNA". It matches the Rfam family "Bacterial small subunit ribosomal RNA", at positions 355 to 776 of the family's 1533-position model. The record is from RNAcentral.